AGGCCCAAGAGCUUGGGUCACUCUGACUCUUAAUCAGCGGGUCCCAGGUUCGAGCCCUGGUGCGCCCACCA
This 71-nucleotide transfer RNA is filed under the name Bradyrhizobium sp. CCBAU 53338. RNAcentral's name for it is "tRNA-Lys". The record is from RNAcentral. Lineage: Bacteria; Pseudomonadati; Pseudomonadota; Alphaproteobacteria; Hyphomicrobiales; Nitrobacteraceae.